This 354-nucleotide ribosomal RNA is filed under the name Rhizobium sp. DJ-E2. RNAcentral describes it as "bacterial SSU rRNA". It matches the Rfam family "Bacterial small subunit ribosomal RNA", at positions 24 to 408 of the family's 1533-position model. The record is from RNAcentral. Lineage: Bacteria; Pseudomonadati; Pseudomonadota; Alphaproteobacteria; Hyphomicrobiales; Rhizobiaceae.
UCAGAACGAACGCUGGCGGCAGGCUUAACACAUGCAAGUCGAGCGCCCCGCAAGGGGAGCGGCAGACGGGUGAGUAACGCGUGGGAAUCUACCUUUUGCUACGGAAUAACGCAGGGAAACUUGUGCUAAUACCGUAUGUGUCCUUCGGGAGAAAGAUUUAUCGGCAAGAGAUGAGCCCGCGUUGGAUUAGCUAGUUGGUGGGGUAAAGGCCUACCAAGGCGACGAUCCAUAGCUGGUCUGAGAGGAUGAUCAGCCACAUUGGGACUGAGACACGGCCCAAACUCCUACGGGAGGCAGCAGUGGGGAAUAUUGGACAAUGGGCGCAAGCCUGAUCCAGCCAUGCCGCGUGAGUGA